ACAAACUCCGUGCAGACAGCACCCGUAGUCAGGAUCGAACCCGGGUCUCUGGCGCUAUACUGCAGCAACUCUACCGCUGCGCCACAGUGCAACACAAUAAUGAUACAAUCGCAAUAACAAUUUUGCAAGGCGUUUUGGACGAAAAGCCCUAUUACACAAAUCACUGCAAAACACAAGGCUCAUUAUAUAGACGUUUCCAUUUGCAACUUUGAUUGAAUGAAUAGUGGUUUGUAUAGCAGCUUAUUGAAUUAGAUGCUCAGCCAAAUCAAAGAGCAAGUCUCUUUUGCAUUAAACACUAUUGUGAAAUCCAGUACUUUAUACAAAAUGAGAUCAAGAACACAACAUGAACAGGGCAGCUAACGAUUUAAAAACGAACAGAAAAUACUGAGAUUACCCCUCUGGUCAAAAUGAAAGACAGCUUGACCCGAAAAGUUAAUAUUCUUCACGCAGAUGCUGCCUGACAAGAUAAAGAUGUACUGUAUCUUUGUAUCCGGACAUGCCCCUGUAUAUUAGC
Molecule: long non-coding RNA, 514 nt
Organism: Amblyraja radiata (thorny skate)
Lineage: Eukaryota; Metazoa; Chordata; Chondrichthyes; Rajiformes; Rajidae
Exons: 3
Source: RefSeq, a predicted model, not a curated record